RNAcentral lists this ribosomal RNA (467 nucleotides) under uncultured bacterium. RNAcentral's name for it is "partial 16S ribosomal RNA". It matches the Rfam family "Bacterial small subunit ribosomal RNA", at positions 28 to 507 of the family's 1533-position model. The record is from RNAcentral.
GAUGAACGCUGGCGGCGUGCUUAACACAUGCAAGUCGAACGGAAAGGCUCCUGCUUGCAGGGGUACUCGAGUGGCGAACGGGUGAGUAACACGUGGGUGAUCUGCCCUGCACUUCGGGAUAAGCCUGGGAAACUGGGUCUAAUACCGGAUAGGACCACAUUUUGGAUGGUGUGGUGGAAAGUUUUUCGGUGUGGGAUGAGCUCGCGGCCUAUCAGCUUGUUGGUGGGGUAAUGGCCUACCAAGGCGUCGACGGGUAGCCGGCCUGAGAGGGUGUACGGCCACAUUGGGACUGAGAUACGGCCCAGACUCCUACGGGAGGCAGCAGUGGGGAAUAUUGCACAAUGGGCGCAAGCCUGAUGCAGCGACGCCGCGUGGGGGAUGACGGCCUUCGGGUUGUAAACUCCUUUCGCUAGGGACGAAGCGUUUUUGUGACGGUACCUGGAGAAGAAGCACCGGCUAACUACGUG